This 460-nucleotide ribosomal RNA is filed under the name uncultured bacterium. Its description in RNAcentral is "partial 16S ribosomal RNA". It matches the Rfam family "Bacterial small subunit ribosomal RNA", at positions 338 to 795 of the family's 1533-position model. The record is from RNAcentral.
CCUACGGGGUGCUGCAGUGAGGAAUAUUGGUCAAUGGACGAGAGUCUGAACCAGCAAAGUAGCGUGAAGGAUGACUGCCCUCUGGGUUUUAAACUUCUUUUAUAAAGGAAUAAAACGAGGCACGUGUGCCUUUUUGCAUGUACUUUAUGAAUACGGAUCGGCUAACUCCGUGCCAGCAGCCGCGGUAAUACGGAGGAUCCGAGCGUUAUCCGGAUGUAUUGGGUUUAAAGGGAGCGUAGAUGGGUUGUUAAGUCAGUUGUGAAAGUUUGCGGCUCAACCGUAAAAUUGCAAUUGAUACUGGCAGUCUUGAGUAUAGUUGAGGUAGGCGGAAUUCGUGGUGUAGCGGUGAAAUGCGUAGAUAUCACGAAGAACCCCGAUUGCGAAGGCAGCUUACUAAACUGUGACUGACAUUGAUGCUCGAAAGUGUGGGUAUCAAACAGGAUUAGAUACCCGAGUAGUC